GUGCCAGCAGCCGCGGUAAUACGAAGGGACCUAGCGUAGUUCGGAUUUAUUGGGCGUAAAGAGCUCGUAGGCGGUUCAACAAGUCGGUCGUGAAAGUUCAGGGCUCAACCCUGAAAUGUCGAUCGAUACUGUUGUGACUAGGAUACGGCAGAGGUGAGUGGAAUUCCGAGUGUAGCGGUGAAAUGCGUAGAUAUUCGGAGGAACACCAAUUGCGAAGGCAGCUCACUGGGCCGCUAUCGACGCUGAGGAGCGAAAGCUAGGGGAGCAAACAGGAUUAGAUA
Molecule: ribosomal RNA, 281 nt
Filed under: uncultured bacterium
Lineage: Bacteria
Description: partial 16S ribosomal RNA
Rfam family: Bacterial small subunit ribosomal RNA
Source: RNAcentral